ACCGUCCCGUGGGUCAGUGUCCCAGUUUCAUCGAAUCGGAACAUCCAAGUCUGCGUUCCCCCAUUAAAACCUCCAACAGAGGAAGGUUGGACGGUCAAAUACGGACCGUUAUUCAACGUGCUAGCGAAUACCACGGUAUCGGACGACCCUUGGGACACUCGGUCAAGUCCUAGACGACUACGGGCAUCGCUUAGGGUUGGUCCAAGGGAGAACUGGUUCCCUGUGUGGAGAACGACUUCUCCCCCAAUCUGUACGAUGGGGUUCGAAGUGUUUCGGAAAGCAAACUGAAGGAUGUUAUCUUCUAUUACAGCCAGACUGAUCCAAUCCGUGUUAGACUUGUUUCGGAGUGCCAACUGGGUUGUUUUAUCAGUCCCUGACAUGUUCGCCCCGUUGAUGUGGAGGCGGGCCACUAUACCUGCGUAAUCGGCUGUCAGAGGUGGGAGCGUGAUAUCCUGGGUUCCGUCAAAAAGGACACCGUUGAUGUUUCUCCCGGUUUGCAGUCGAGUCGCAGUUGAAGCGUUACCUGUCAGGCUACCAAUCACCGUCCCGAUGGCGGCAGUUCCUGUAGAAUCCCUGGCAACAACUGUGCUCGCCUGAUUAAUAGCCGUGGCCGUCAUGACAGCAGCGCUGCCAAGUUGAAGCUGCGACCUACCCGUUGCGGCAUCUGCUACGCCGAUCCAGUUUCGACCAAACGGGGUCGUUGCCAGGUUGGCCAUGGAGGUAGCCGUGUUGAAAUACGGGAUAGCUCCAACCACAGG
RNAcentral lists this non-coding RNA (758 nucleotides) under Pseudomonas phage PAK_P3. The record is from RNAcentral. Lineage: Duplodnaviria; Heunggongvirae; Uroviricota; Caudoviricetes; Vandenendeviridae.